CCGUGGGUUGCCCAGAGAAGCUGCUCCUGUGGCUACGGCCGAGGGUCAGUGGGAAAACCUGAACAGUCCUGAUGGAAACGAUGGAAAAACAAGUUUGGUUUGGUUGUGGACUUGGCAUUUUCCCCCUGACCCCGACCUGAUCUAGGUGUUUUGCCUUAGGGAACAGGAGACAGAAGGGGAAAUGGAGAAAAAGAUAAUUCAUUACCUCAACAGGGACAAGCUUAUUUCUAUUUGCUCCCUGAUGCACCUGGAAUGAGUUGGGUCUCAGGAGGCACCUGGGAGCCUCCUUUUGUGUCCUGGGUGUGGCCGUGGCUAUAAAAGGGGUAAAGGAUGGAGGAGGGGCAGUGGCUGGGAUCAGUGGUGCCCUGCGGAUUUGCAUCUGGAAGCGGCCGCCAGUUUCCUGAUGAGAGUCCUGGAAACAGAACUCGAAGUCUGUAAGAAGUGCGAAUACUGUAGCUGGAGUGCUGAGAAUGGAGGAUCUUCAGAGAAUGUUGUCUGGGCAGCGUCUGACCCCAGGUCUCAGGGACUGCAUGGAGAUUCCUCUGGAGCAGGGUCACUCUGUGAGGAUGAGCCACAGAGGUUCAGUUCUUGGAGCAGGACAGGAAAAAUCGUUAAACUCCUCCCAUCUUUGCCAGAAGCUUCGGUGUUUAAGCAGCCAAAGCCAAGAGUCUUCAGCACCAGGGCUCUGUGUUACUAUUGGACAUGAAAUGAGUACACAGAAGCUUGGGCAACAGGUCUGCGCUGGAGGGCUCCUGGUCCUGCCCACGCUGUGGGGCCAGCAGGAACAAGGGGGAAUGUGGUGCCAGAGCUGUGUUCUGUCGGGCUGCGCUUCCCUCUGAGGACAGAGUCUGGGCUGAGGUGAGAUUGUUGUGAGUGCCUGCAUGAGCAAUCCAGGGAACUCGGAAUUGCAUCCGCUGCUGGGAACACUGCCUGAGGUCUGCUCAGUUUGUGUCUGUGAGGAGUGGGAUUUGGGCUGCAGAGGUGCUGUUGGCACAAAAACCAGAGUAAAUCCUCUCCCGGGAUGAGCAGUGAAGGACAGUGUAGCAGGGAAGGGGAGUAUUUACAAAGUAUGUCAAUAUUUCUCCCAAAACUGAGAGAAAUGGGGUGGAACAGAGAUGGGGGUGGUUUGGUUUUUUUGUCUGGGCCUGUUAUUCCUUGUGCAAGGUUUUAAAUCUGUUGUAUGAUUUACUCUCCAGUAUCUUUCUAACAAAAGAUGACUGAAAUUUAGUUUCGGGGUUAGAAGUUGGGUCCAUUCACUGCAAAGUCUUGCCAAGGCUGGAGGACUGGGGUGAUGGCUGCUCUCAGCAAAGGUUACUUUACUAAUACUGUGUCAGAUUUCCCUCAGUGCUGGGCAGGAAAGGUGAGGGUUUGGAUCAGGAAUUCUGCAAACAAGGCCUGUGUGAUGUUGGUUGUGGAGUUGUGUUUUUUAUGUUUUAUUACAUUUGUGUUAUGUAUAGGUUUGUUCCAUGUACCCCCGGUUCUAUAAUGGUUUCUCCCCGGGUUUUCCCGCCUUUCCCCCGUGUGUCCGUUAUCCCCAAAAGUGCUAAGUCAUCCCCCUGUUUACCCCAGAUGCCUGUCCGUCACUCUGUGUCCCUUCCCAUCCACCUAGAAUCUUCCAUCCGGGACACCGGGUGAUUGGUAAAGGACCUGGGACCCUUCCCCUGUCUAUCCUUCAUUGGAUGUACCCCCGUAUCACACCACCCUCGAACCCCUCCGCAGUUUUACCCCAUUGGCUGUUUGGUUUUCCCCGAUUCCGUAUUUAGUUCAUUUGCGCGGUUUGUUUCAUGCUUUCUUCUGGUGGGCUCCAGCGCACUCCACCCUGCCCGCGCCUUUCCGGCAAACCCCAGCGCGGCACGCCUGGUCCCCUUCGAGUUAUUGUAUUCCCCGUUGGAUUACAAUAAACGGAAUUCGCCCACAGAGAAAGACUCUCCUCGUAAUUCGCCGUGGGGUCGCUGGCUGCUCUCUGGAACUCCAAUAGCGCUUCCCAAAGCCCGCGAGGGUCCAGCGGGAAGCGCUAGAAACCUGCCCGCACCUCUCCCCUGAAGAGCUAGCCGGGGCUGAGGAAGGGCAUCGGGGAGAGAAGCGUCGGCAGUUGGUUGUUAUAAAUUAAAAUUUGUCCAGCCAAAUUAAUAUAAAAAAUAAAAUAUUUAUUUUGCAAUCAAAUUCUAUCUAGCCAGCCACAAGGAAAGAACAGAGCCGAGCCCGGGGUCGGCCCUGGGUGUGCAACAAGGAGUCAGCCUCAGCAGAGGUUUUCCUCCAUGCCCACACACUUCUGUCCUGGCACAAGCGGUUUUUAUAGGGAAAAUUCCGCCUGAGGCCAAGAUUUCAGCAAUCAGUCUUUUCUUCUAUUCAGAGUCUAUAUGUUAAUAAGAUUUUCCUUUUUGGUGAAGAGGGAGAGCAAAUCACUUUCCAGAGUUUGUUGAAUCCUUGAGAACGUGUAAACUCUCAGUUUACCCCACACAACCGCGCCCCUACACUACAAACCCUUCACCAUCGUACCCACACAGUUUCUCUCUCACUCACUCAGGGCAUACUCUUAAUUACAGCCACAAAAACAGAAGUUAUUUUAUUCUUUUUCUGCUUAAUAUCCGUGUCUUGUAUUUGUACAUCAAUCCCAGCUUCUCCCAAGGAGGCAGAUCAAAUCUUUCAGUGACUGUGGGAGUUUCUGGUUUUCCGAUUCCCACUUCUCCCCUCUUUCUGUAUUAAAACCAAUUUUUAUUAAUGGAUUUGUUAAGCAUUUGUUACAUAUAUUAAGAUAAAUAAGGUGUUAUCAUUAGUAGUAGUAUUAUUAUAAUAAUUAAAAUGUAUAAUUCUGUCAUAAGAUUUUUAAUUAUGUUGUUACAUUUUAUUUAUUAAAUAAAUUGUCAAUUAAGUUUUAUUAUUUAUUCUUAUUUUUGCUAUUUCUUACAGUUGUACAUUUUUAUAAAUAGAUUUUGAGUGACUAGAUAAAUGUAUACAUUGCAUUAAAAUUUUUAUAUUUAUGUAUGUGUGUUAAUAAAAGAAAAUUGAUUGUGUUUUGUAAAACUGCAUGUUUAAUAUUUUUGAUAUUUGUUAAAAAGUCAUUUAAUGUAAGGGAUGUAGUAUUAGAUUGUUUAUUUAGAUAAUAUUUUAAAUUAUUUAAUUGUUUUAGUGUUGUUGAAGUAAUAGGUGGUAUAAAAAGUGAUGCUACGAUUUUUUUUAAAGUUUCAAGGCUUAAAAUUACUUUUAUAUUUUGAUUACUAUUGAUGGAUAAAUGAUUUUUUUGUUUUAAAUUGGUAGUUAUUUUUAUAUUAAGAGUUAAUAAUAUAAGGGGUUUUAAUUAUAUGGAUUAUUUGUAAUGCUUUUUACUGGUAUAUUAAGUAAGUAAAGAAUGGAUUUUUUUGAGUAAUGACAGAUAAAUACAACAUAUUUAAACUUGAAACUUUAGUUAAAGUUACUUAAAGUUACUGUUUUAGGUUGGUUAAUUGGUAAAGAGAUAUAAUUAAAGUUAAAUAAAGUAAAUAGAGUAGAAGUAUAAUAUUUGAUGGAAUUUUAUAAUUUUAAAGUUAUUAAAUAGUAAGAUUUUUAUAUUUAUAAAGAAAUUUAAAGUUUAUAUUUUUUUGUGGGUGUAAAAGUUGGAAUUCCUGUGUAAUUUACAUUUGUGGAAUUUACAUUUGUAUUUACAUUGUGUAAUUUAUGUUUGUAUUUACAUUUUUUUUUUUAUUUGUGGAGUGGUGAGUGUGUUUUUUGUGUGAUAUUAUUUUAUAUUUCUUAUUGAAAUUGACUUGUGGUUUUGUACUUGUUGAGAUAUAAGUAAACUUUAUGUUUUGAUAUGAGAAAUAAAGUUUUGUUAAGUUUUGUUUUAUAAAAUUGCAUAGAGAUUUGCAAGAUAAUGAAUAAGUUAUUAUAUUUUUUUAGUUAUAAGUAUGAAGAAAUAUAAAAGUAAAAAUGUAUGUAGUAAAGAAGAAAUUGAUAAUAAUUAGGAAUUAUUUAGAUAAUAGCUAUAAUUAGUAACAUAUCUGAAAUUAUAUAAUUAGUAAGUAUUAAAAUAAUGUACAUUAUUUUAGAGUUUAUAACAGUUGAUAAACGUUUCAUUAGCGGAAGGUUGGAUAAUUAUGUUUGGAUAAUGAUUUUUAAAGUUUAUUUUAAAAAUAAGUUUAUUUGUUAUAUUGAUAAAGUUGAAUUAUUACAUCAAAAUUAUUUGAAUUUUAUUUUUUAUGUAGAAAGUAUGUGGGUUUGUUGUUAAUUAUUUAGGUGGAGUUAGGGUUUGGUUAUAGUUUAAAUUUUAAUUGGUGGAUGUUACUGAAUAUAUUUUCAUAUAAUAUUUUUUAAAUUAGUAGCUAAGAUAGUAAAGUAAAGUAAAAGUUUUAGGAUUAAAGAUUAUUUACAUUAUUUAAUAAUUGGAUUUUUUAGAAGUUUUUUUGGAAUAGAGAUGUUUUUAAUAUAGUAAAAUUUUUUUUAAAGAAUUGAAAGUGGUUUUAGACAGGACUGUGAAUUUGGAUUUGGAUAUUGAGAGUGUGAAGGUGAAGGAAAUGUGUGAGAGAUUGGUUACUUACUGUGAAACUUAAAAAAAGAAAUUAAUGUUGUAGUUGGAUUUUUAUUUAAGUGUUUUUGUAAUAAUAACUGAGGAAAGUGAUAAGAUUAACAGUUUGGAGGAGGUUUUUAAUGAAGUUUAAUUUUUCUUUUUUUUUUAAUUUUGAAAAAUAAUUAAAAUUGUGAGAUAACAUUAGGUUAAAUUAGAGUUAGUGUAGAGAUUAGUUAGAGAGUUAACCUAGUUUAAGUGAUGUAUAAAUAGAGAAUAAAAAAAGUAGGAUUUAGAAAUUUUAUGGUUUUUUUAGAUCAUUAUAUAAAGAGAUGAUAAAGUAUAUGAAAGUUGAUUGUAAAUAUUAUACUAAUAUUUUAUAAAUAAUGUUUAUUAUAAAAAUGAAUAUAUUUGCAUUAUAUAAUUAUUAUAUUAGUAGUAAGUGUUUGAAGUAAUUAGGAUAACUUUGAAGAAAAUAUUUAUAUAUGUCCAAGAUUGAAGACCAAGAUGUUUCCUAUUACCAUCCGAGUAGCAGUUGCCUCUGGGCAGUUUUCCUUAUCUCCUGCUCAUAGGCUCAUCAGUGUCUUGCCACGUGACUCAGAUAACACUCUCCAGGAGCCAGUUCCAUUUAACAGGUGAUCAAGGACACACCUCCUGACUCAAUAACAUCAGCCCAUUGUGAGCUGCUCCACCCAGGGGAGGAGCUAGACAUUCACACCUGGAUAAAUCCGGGGAUUUCUAGACAGAGAGGCAGCCUCUCCACAGGUUUCUGAGAAAACAGGGCAACCACAUCUGCCAUUCCAAGAGGACUGCAGCCACUCCAAUUUAGACUGCUACCAGCACGCUAGCCAAAGGGGUGUCAGGUUGUAUUCUGACUUUGUCAGUGGUCUUCCUUUUGUAUCAUUGCAUGCAUUUUUGUCUUCUUCCCUUUUCCCAAUAAACUGUAUUUCUGACUUGGAUUCUCUCACUGGUUGUGCUUUCAAACCAGAACAAUAUAUUAAGGAAAUAGAGUAAAAAUUGUAAAAUAGUAUGAUAUUGAUAGUAAUUAUUAUUUU
RNAcentral lists this long non-coding RNA (5535 nucleotides) under Taeniopygia guttata (zebra finch). Its description in RNAcentral is "lncRNA (ENSTGUG00000026227.1)". Lineage: Eukaryota; Metazoa; Chordata; Aves; Passeriformes; Estrildidae. The record is from RNAcentral.